CCAAUAGCGUAUAUUAAAGUUGUUGUGGUUAAAAAGCUCGUAGUUGAACCUUGGGCCUGGCUGGCCGGUCCGCCUCACCGCGUGUACUGGUCCGGCCGGGCCUUUCCCUCUGUGGAACCCCAUGCCCUUCACUGGGUGUGGCGGGGAAACAGGACUUUUACUGUGAAAAAAUUAGAGUGCUCCAGGCAGGCCUAUGCUCGAAUACAUUAGCAUGGAAUAAUAGAAUAGGACGUGUGGUUCUAUUUUGUUGGUUUCUAGGACCGCCGUAAUGAUUAAUAGGGACAGUCGGGGGCAUCAGUAUUCAAUUGUCAGAGGUGAAAUUCUUGGAUUUAUUGAAGACUAACUACUGCGAAAGCAUUUGCCAAGGAUGUUUUCAUUAAUCAGGAACGAAAGUUAGGGGAUCGAAGACGAUCAGAUACCGUCGUAGUCUUAACCAUAAACUAUGCCGACUAGGGAUCGGACGGUGUUAUUAUUUGACCCGUUCGGCACCUUACG
This 495-nucleotide unclassified non-coding RNA is filed under the name uncultured Glomeromycotina. RNAcentral describes it as "SSU rRNA". It matches the Rfam family "Eukaryotic small subunit ribosomal RNA", at positions 591 to 1092 of the family's 1831-position model. The record is from RNAcentral. Lineage: Eukaryota; Fungi; Glomeromycota.